RNAcentral lists this ribosomal RNA (497 nucleotides) under uncultured bacterium. RNAcentral's name for it is "partial 16S ribosomal RNA". It matches the Rfam family "Bacterial small subunit ribosomal RNA", at positions 28 to 507 of the family's 1533-position model. The record is from RNAcentral.
GAUGAACGCUGGCGGCGUGCCUAAUACAUGCAAGUCGAGCGAACGGACGAGAAGCUUGCUUCUCUGAUGUUAGCGGCGGACGGGUGAGUAACACGUGGAUAACCUACCUAUAAGACUGGGAUAACUUCGGGAAACCGGAGCUAAUACCGGAUAAUAUUUUGAACCGCAUUGUUCAAAAGUGAAAGACGGUCUUGCUGUCACUUAUAGGUGGAUCCGCGCUGCAUUAGCUAGUUGGUAAGGUAACGGCUUACCAAGGCAACGAUGCAUAGCCGACCUGAGAGGGUGAUCGGCCACACUGGAACUGAGACACGGUCAAGACUCCUACGGGAGGCAGCAGUAGGGAAUCUUCCGCAAUGGGCGAAAGCCUGACGGAGCAACGCCGAGUGAGUGAUGAAGGUCUUCGGAUCGUAAAACUCUGUUAUUAGGGAAGAACAUAUGUGUAAGUAACUGUGCACAUCUUGACGGUAACUAAUCAGAAAGCCACGGCUAACUACGUG